CUAAGAAUAUUCCGCAAUGGACGAAAGUCUGACGGAGCGACGCCGCGUGGAUGAUGAAGGCCGGAAGGUUGUAAAAGUCCUUUUGUCGGGGAAGAAUAAGCGCGGGAGGGAAUGCCCGCGUGAUGACAUGAACCGGCGAAUAAGCCCCGGCUAACUACGUGCCAGCAGCCGCGGUAACACGUAGGGGGCGAGCGUUGUUCGGAAUUACUGGGCGUAAAGGGCAUGUAGGCGGUCUUGUAAGCCUGACGUGAAAGGCUAUGGCUUAACCAUGGCACUGCGUUGGGAACUGCGGGACUUGAAUCACGGAGGGGGAACUGGAAUUCCAGGUGUAGGGGUGAAAUCGUGUAGAUAUCUGGAAGAACACCAGUGGCGAAGGCGAGUUCCUGGCCGAUGAUUGGCGCU
Molecule: ribosomal RNA, 402 nt
Filed under: uncultured bacterium
Lineage: Bacteria
Description: bacterial SSU rRNA
Rfam family: Bacterial small subunit ribosomal RNA
Source: RNAcentral